GCUUUCGUGGUGUAGUGGUCAGCACGCUGGGCGCUUAAUCCAGAGGUCUGUGGUUCGAGUCUCGGCGAAGAUG
RNAcentral lists this transfer RNA (73 nucleotides) under Stegodyphus mimosarum. It matches the Rfam family "tRNA". From Rfam's summary of the family: Transfer RNA (tRNA) molecules are approximately 80 nucleotides in length. Their secondary structure includes four short double-helical elements and three loops (D, anti-codon, and T loops). Further hydrogen bonds mediate the characteristic L-shaped molecular structure. tRNAs have two regions of fundamental functional importance: the anti-codon, which is responsible for specific mRNA codon recognition, and the 3' end, to which the tRNAs corresponding amino acid is attached (by aminoacyl-tRNA synthetases). tRNAs cope with the degeneracy of the genetic code in two manners: having more than one tRNA (with a specific anti-codon) for a particular amino acid; and 'wobble' base-pairing, i.e. permitting non-standard base-pairing at the 3rd anti-codon position. Lineage: Eukaryota; Metazoa; Arthropoda; Arachnida; Araneae; Eresidae. The record is from Rfam by way of RNAcentral.